GUAAUUGUGUUAUCUACUCUUCCCUUCAUCAACUUUAUUUUUGAUGGUUGGAAGUAAUAUAUAGUGGUGUUUCAUUAUGUCACAUCCCAAAUUUUACGUUUUGAAACAUAUUUUUAAAAGCAAUGAAUUUGAAUGUGAAUCGGAAAAUUAUCCAAUGCAGAUGAAUAAUUAAUUAUUCACAAAUGCUAGAAAGUAGAAAUUUAGAAUCAUAAACCUUACAUCCAUAUUGAAGGUAUGAUGUCAAACUCUAAACCAUGUAGCAAAAAUGUAAAUUUAAAUAUAGGAAUUUACAUAAGAAUCAUGUCACUUACUUUCCAAGCAAGUGGUAAGCGUCAAUUACUACACCUGAAUACACCUGAAUGCCUCUUGUUAACCUUCAAGACUAACUCCCUGCAAAGUCACUCCCUACACCACAAAUGGUGGACCGGGUUCACAAAAGAUAAGAAAACCCGGUAAGAUUAUGAAUUACUUGUAUGAGUAAAAACUACACAAGAGACUAUUAUACACCGAAAUAUCACUUUAAGUAAAACAAGAGAAUAUUUCAUAAGAGUGUAUGAUGAACACCUUUAAAAUAACAAUACAUAAGUCCACUAAUGAUAAGACACAGUAAGUUUCUUACUAAACAAUGUAUAGACAUGAUGUACCACUCUAUUCUACAGAUUGAUGUGAUACUUAGAGAAGGAUAAAAGAGCAUUUCACAGGUUUGAUAACAACAACUCUAUAAAAUAAGAAAUAAAAAUCCAUGAGACAACUGUGAUAACAUCCAGCAUGUCUCCUACAAAGCAAUGAUGAAGUACCACCCUGGUCUAUACCUAUACAAAGCACAAGACAAACGACUAACCUUGCAACAAUACACAAUUUGAUUUAAGAAUACACAAUGAUCGCUCCUCAUCUAUAAAACCCACAUGGAUCAAACUCACCAAGUAGGGCACUACUCUAACACGGAUCAGACUCACAAUGUUGAACCAGACCGCACGAAAUAAUACUGAAUUGACAACGACAGACUAGUGCACUAACUGUUAUGAGGCUUUUCACCCCAGGGACUAUUCUUGUUCCCUGCUUGCUCACCGUGGGAUCAAACUCACCCAUUCAACAAAGUACUCAAGGUAUUCUAACCUUUCAUCAAUUGUAACCACAAAGACUCGUUACCAUAGUGAUGACACAAAGUAAAUUAUGCAGAUGUUUACACAAGUACAUAUAACUAAAACAAGAACAUUAAUGUACGUAGAUUAAAAAUUUCUAUAUUUGCUUUAAAACAUAAAAUUCACAAGAGUGAAAGAUAUAACCAUGAUUAAUUGCAGGGAAAAGAAAUAUGUAUUACAUAACUUAAGGUAUCAGAAUUUACAUUGCAAGUAUAAGACAUAACUAAAGUUUGAUGUUAAGAAGACAAGGGGCUAAGCAUUUGUGGAUUCCAUAAAAGCAUUGUCAUCUGACUCUAAAAAGAACUCAGAUUUCUUUCAGAUGUUCAUACUAGAAAAUUUGAUGCAACCUUCCUAUUUCAAAGUUCUCUACAUGUUUCAGUUCUUAUUCGUUUGAGGUGAUUCUUGAUCUUAUUGAAACGUGAAGGAACCUUCUACAAUGUUGUGUGUGCUCAUACUUAAUCAAGAUGUUCAAUGAACCCAAAGAGUCCUUGAACCCAUCUGGAUUAAUAUACAAGUGAAACAAACAAGAAAAACUUCACACCACCAUAACUUCCUCAAUUCUCAAUCAAAUUAAGCAAGUAAUAUGUCGAUUUUAUACUACUCAAAAUGUCCAACACAUCUGUACCAUCAAAUCAUGAAUCAAAGACAAACAAAGAUGCUAAAUUGACCAAUUACAGUAAAUUCGACCCAAACCAUAAAAGAAGAGAAAACCCGACUGAACCCAGUUUCCAAACAACCAAGCAUCCCUAAAAUUCAAGUUCCUAUCAAAAGAAUGUGAAUGUGAAAUCCUGAAUGGCAAAACAACAACUCAAAGGAUUAUCAGAAACAAUGGAAGAGGGAAAGAAGAACAACUGUAAUUCUUGAACUAAGAAAUUUCAGAGGUUUUACUCACCUAACACUUGCUCCCAAACGCACGACUUCAGUUCUCCUCCCUCUCCUCCAAAACGUUUGUCCUCCUCUCCCUAUUCCCGGAAACUAGUCGAUAAACAAAAACUUCCCAAAGUCAGUAAAGUUAACUGCCUGUAGUGUUCCCUUUCAACUUCUUUUCUUUUUCUUUUCUUUUUUUUU
RNAcentral lists this long non-coding RNA (2210 nucleotides) under Fragaria vesca (wild strawberry). Its description in RNAcentral is "long non-coding RNA (FVES_LNC000485)". The record is from RNAcentral. Lineage: Eukaryota; Viridiplantae; Streptophyta; Magnoliopsida; Rosales; Rosaceae.